RNAcentral lists this ribosomal RNA (1474 nucleotides) under uncultured Bordetella sp. Its description in RNAcentral is "partial 16S-23S ribosomal RNA intergenic spacer". It matches the Rfam family "Bacterial small subunit ribosomal RNA". Lineage: Bacteria; Pseudomonadati; Pseudomonadota; Betaproteobacteria; Burkholderiales; Alcaligenaceae. The record is from RNAcentral.
UCGAUCAUGGCUCAGAUUGAACGCUGGCGGGAUGCUUUACACAUGCAAGUCGAACGGCAGCACGACUUAGUCUGGUGGCGAGUGCGAACGGCAGAAAGUAAUGUAUCGGAACGUGCCUAGUAAAGGGGGAUAACUACGCGAAAGCGUGGCUUAUUGGCCCGCAUACGCCCCUUCGGGGGAAAGCGGGGGGACCUUUCGGGCCUCUGCACCAUUAGAGCGGCCGAUAUCGGAUUAGCUAGUUGGUGGGGUAACGGCUCACCAAGGCGACGAUCCGUAGCUGGUUUGAGAGGACGACCAGCCACACUGGGACUAUAUGCCCAGACUCCUACGGGAGGUGAAACAGUGGGAAUUUUUGAUAAUGGGGAAACCUGAUCCAGCCAUCCUGUGCGAUGAAGGCCUUCGGGUUGGGAAGCACUUCCUUUUAAAGGGGAAAGAAACGGCAACGUGACAAUACCCGCAACUGACGGUACCUGCACAGCACCGGCUAACCACGCCGUUGUUACGCGGUACUGCUGUGAAGGUGCAAGCGUUAAUCGGAAUUACUGGGCGUAAAGCGUGCGCAGGCGUUCUGAAAGAAAGAGUGCGGAAAUCCCAGAGCUUUAACCCGGAACUGCAUUUUAAUCACUGAGCUUAGAGUGUGUCAGAGGGAGGUGGAAUUCCGCGUGUAGCAGUGAAAAUGCGUAGAUAUGCGGAGGAACACCGAUGGCGAAGGCAGCUCUUUAUAACACUGACGCUCAUACGAAAGCGUGGGGAGCAAACAGAUUAGAUACCCUGGUAGUCCACGCCCCAAACGAUGUCAACUAGCUGUUGGGGCCUUCGGGCCUUGCAGCGCAGCUAACGCGUGAAGUUGACCGCCUGGGGAGUACGGUCGCAAGAUUAAAACUCAAAGGAAUUGACGGGACCCGCACAAGCGGUGUGAUGAUGUGAUUAAUUCGACGCAACGCGAAAACCUUACCUACCCUUGACAUGUCUGGAAUCCCGAAGAGAUUUGGGAGUGCUCGCAAGAGAACCGGAACACAGGUGCUGCACAGCUGUCAGCUCGUGUCGAGAUGCUGGGUUAAGUCCCGCAACGAGCGCAACCUCCUUGUCAUUAGUUGCUACGAAAGGGCACUCUAAUGAGACUGCCGGUGACAAACCGGAGGGAAGGUGGAUGAUGCUGUCCGCGGUCUUUAUGUGGUAGGGUCAACAUGUCAUACAAGGCCGUCGCACAGAGGGUCGCUAACCCGCGAGGGGAGCCAAUCCCAGAAACCUGAUCGUAGUCCGGAUCGCGGUCUGCAAAUCUCUUCCGACUGCGUGAAGUCGGAAUCGCUAGUAAUCGCGGAUCAGCAUAUGUCGCGGUGAAUAUUCCCGGUCUGCACAUACGCACUGCCCGUCACACCAUGGGGAGUGGGUUUUACCAGAAGUAGUUAGCCUAACCGUAAGGAGGGCGAUUACCACGGUAGAUUCAUGACUGGGGUGAAGUCGUAACAAGGCA